This 851-nucleotide long non-coding RNA is filed under the name Pan troglodytes (chimpanzee). Its description in RNAcentral is "lincRNA". Lineage: Eukaryota; Metazoa; Chordata; Mammalia; Primates; Hominidae. The record is from RNAcentral.
AUUCUCAGAGUCAGGAAAAGGGGCGAGAGGCCACAUGUCUCCCUCUCGCCAAACUGAAAACGAAACGGCGCUCCAGCAGAUUGGGUGGAAAGAGCUGUGUCUGUUUUCUCUGUUUUUCACGCUAGAAAGGGCUUGUAAACAUUGUUCCUUUUAAAAUGACCUACCCCGGGAGGUUUGGGCACACUUCUGUCCUGGGGUCAUCGUUCGUAGGUGGCUUCGGACCUGGGACUUUGAUUUCCUGUAUCUGCACAUUGUCGUUUUAUACACAAUUGCCAAGGUAGGACUGCUUUCAACUUUACUGUGCUUGAAGCUGCAAAGCGGAUCCUGUUACAGUGCAAAGAAGAAAUGGCAAACGGAUAACAGCUACUGUGCCUAGAAGAUGGUUCUGCCCUGAUGUUUCCUGGAAUAAUGCUGAGGACUGCCUUUCGGGUAGCCUCCCUAUUCAGUUCACUUCAUCUCGGAAAUACCUGACCCCUGCCUUGGAUCCAGCGGCCCUCCUGAGAGCUGAGGAAGGAGGAAAUCCUACAUGUCUGCUCCCGGAGCUGCCACAACCCAUCUUCCCACAACUCGGAACUUGGAAAAAGGAACCCAGGACACGACUUUGCUUUUCUUUUGGACCUAGUUGGUGAUUAUACUCUGUCUCCCAUGGAGACCACGUCUUGCAUCCUUCCUUCUAUAUGGGAUUUAGGAUAGAAAUUAAAAAGAAAACAUAUUAUUUUGAGUCUUGAUUUGGAGAAAGGUAGUAUUCAGGAGGAAGUAGGCUAUGAUACACAUAGAAAAUUUGAGGACAGUGUUACUUAACAAGGACAUUUCUGUCUCUGCAGAAGUCACAGCUUGGAGGAAACCAGUUU